Molecule: long non-coding RNA, 1549 nt
Organism: Catharus ustulatus (Swainson's thrush)
Lineage: Eukaryota; Metazoa; Chordata; Aves; Passeriformes; Turdidae
Exons: 2
Source: RefSeq, a predicted model, not a curated record
AGAAUUUAUUGUAGAGGAUGGAGAUGGGCAUGCCAUUCAGGAUUAUUCCAAAAGCAAUGCAGAGGAAAGCAAACAGGCGUCCAAGGAAGAAAUGAUCCAGGACUUGCAAGUUUUUAGAUAAAAUCCACUUUAAUAAUUACAUACCUACAAGGAACUGUAGCCUCAAAGUUUUUGCUUGCAGCGUAUGGUUGCAAAAUAUAUAGUUAUAGUGUUAAAUAAGUACACCGCUGGGUAAUUUUUGCUGAAUUUCCUUUUGAAGAUGGAUUUAGAGGUUGUUUAAAAUGUUUAAGCUUUGGUUGUUGUAUUUGGAGGGUUUUAUUUGUUUUGUUUUGUUUUGUUUUGGGUUUCUUUUGGUUUGAUUUUAUUUUUUCUGAGAAUGAUGGUGUUUAGUGUAUUUGUUUUCUAUACAUCUGAACACUUUGCCAGCUCAUUGUGCACAUGCCUUCACAUUUUUCUUCUCAGCCAAUAUAAUUUUCUCUUUCUAGCCUGUGGAUAUAUGAAGGCACUGUGUUAUGGGUCCAGUGCUACAUCAACUACUGAAAUAUUUCCAUUGUAAAAUUCAGAUAAAAAAUAAAUUGAUGUUUGAUUAUGGAUAUACUACAUUUGAAAGAUAUACUCUCAAACAGUCAACAUAACUCCUAAUUUGUUUAGUUUCAUUGUACACAUCUUAAUGUGUUAUAAUUUUUACACUUAGUAAAUAUAACUUUUUUUCUGACAGGUAAAACUUGCAUGUUUCUGUCACCUCUCACUUUCUAGUCUGUGAAAGAGAUCCUUUUUAGCCAGUUAAUUGUAUUCAAUAUUUUUCACAAUGUCUGUGUGUAUCUGUUAAACAGUAACUUAAAACUCUGACCAAAAAAAAGCCACAGAUAGUAGGACUUUCACUGAAAAUAAGUCUUCAGAAGGUCACUGUGUAGAGUUUACCACCCUCUAAAAUGGUAAAUAGAAUCAUAUUUUAAAGGAAGAAAGCAUUAGAAUACAUGAGACAGCACUGGGUGAGCACAUUUUUAGGAUGCACCUGGUGCUUCCUGUGGAAUAAAAAGGAUUAGUGAUUCGGUUUAAUGGAAAUUAAGUCACUGGAUUUGAAUGAUAAUACAGGAUAAAUAUCUCCAAAAAUAAAUACUGAGAUGAAGGCAAGAUGUUUAUCUCUACCAGCCAGGACAAAAAUGUUAUCCUGUGAUAAGGUUCUGUACGACUGGCAUAGUCUUAUUCAUUGUCUGUAACAAUUUAGGAGGGAUGUUUCUUCUGCAUGUGUGAGAUGGUGAAUACUGUUGAAUUUUUAUAAAAUUUGAAUGAUCUAGGUGUUUUAAUUUACAGUCUUAAAGAACAAAUAGGCUUUUAAAAAAUGUUUUAUGCUUUGGAAUUGCAAUGUGCAUGAUACAGCUUCUGUUUUGAAGACAGAAUUGCUCAUCUAAAUAGGUCUUUUUCACCUAGCCAUGUAAGUUUAUUAGGAAUAUCUAAAUGAUUAUGGUGUCACCGGUUUACAAAAAUGAGUCCUGAAGACUGCAUAUAACCUGUUCAGAAAACAAAAUAUAUUUUAGCAAUGUGUGAA